AGAGAUUAUUAACCAAAAAAUGUCCUGUCCAAAAGCUGUGUUCUUUAGUGGGAAAGUCUCGCAGAGCUCUCCUCUGAACUAAUACUGGAAGCAAAGAAGUAAGACAUAUCAAGAUUUAAAACAUAAAUAGCUUGGAACACCCUGAAGAGCAACAUGGGAGAAACUGAGAAAAGAAUUGAAACCCAUAGAAUAAGAUGUCUUUCCAAGUUGAAGAUGUUUCUGUUGGCAAUAACAUGUGCAUUUGUAUCCAAAACACUAUCUGGAUCUUAUAUGAAUUCCAUGCUCACACAAAUAGAGAGACAAUUCAACAUCCCAACAUCUCUAGUUGGAUUUAUUAAUGGAAGCUUUGAGAUUGUGACGGAGUUUCACCAUGUUGGUCAGGCUGGUCUCAAACUUCUGACAUCAGGUGAUCUGCCUGCCUCAGCCUCCCAAAGUGGAAACAGUCUUCUUUGGAAAGAAGAUGCCAUCUCGGACUUUCAGAGAUAGG
Molecule: small RNA, 487 nt
Filed under: Pongo abelii (Sumatran orangutan)
Lineage: Eukaryota; Metazoa; Chordata; Mammalia; Primates; Hominidae
Description: processed transcript
Source: RNAcentral